This 87-nucleotide microRNA precursor is filed under the name Cajanus cajan (pigeon pea). Its description in RNAcentral is "miRNA gene-KK1_047238". The record is from RNAcentral. Lineage: Eukaryota; Viridiplantae; Streptophyta; Magnoliopsida; Fabales; Fabaceae.
UUUAAAAUCGGUUCUUAAAUAACCGAUUUUAAAAGUAAUACUUUUAAAAGUACUUUUAAGAUCGGUUAUUUAAGAAUCGAUCUUAAA